Molecule: ribosomal RNA, 119 nt
Filed under: Pteropus alecto (black flying fox)
Lineage: Eukaryota; Metazoa; Chordata; Mammalia; Chiroptera; Pteropodidae
Source: RNAcentral
AUCUACAGCCAUGCUAACCUGAACAAGCCAAUUCUCGUCUGAUCUCGGAAGCUAAGCAGGGUUGGGCCUGGUUAGUACUUGAAUGGGAGACCACCUAGGAAGAACAGGUGCUGUAGGCA